RNAcentral lists this ribosomal RNA (551 nucleotides) under uncultured bacterium. Its description in RNAcentral is "bacterial SSU rRNA". It matches the Rfam family "Bacterial small subunit ribosomal RNA", at positions 346 to 917 of the family's 1533-position model. The record is from RNAcentral.
AGGCAGCAGUGGGGAAUCUUGCACAAUGGAGGAAACUCUGAUGCAGCGAUGCCGCGUGAGUGAAGAAGGCCUUUGGGUUGUAAAGCUCUUUCGUCGGGGAAGAAAAUGACUGUACCCGAAUAAGAAGGUCCGGCUAACUUCGUGCCAGCAGCCGCGGUAAUACGAAGGGACCUAGCGUAGUUCGGAAUUACUGGGCUUAAAGAGUUCGUAGGUGGUUGAAAAAGUUAGUGGUGAAAUCCCAGAGCUUAACUCUGGAACUGCCAUUAAAACUUUUCAGCUAGAGUAUGAUAGAGGAAAGCAGAAUUUCUAGUGUAGAGGUGAAAUUCGUAGAUAUUAGAAAGAAUACCAAUUGCGAAGGCAGCUUUCUGGAUCAUUACUGACACUGAGGAACGAAAGCAUGGGUAGCGAAGAGGAUUAGAUACCCUCGUAGUCCAUGCCGUAAACGAUGUGUGUUAGACGUUGGAAAUUUAUUUUCAGUGUCGCAGGGAAACCAAUAAACACACCGCCUGGGGAGUACGACCGCAAGGUUGAAACUUAAAGGAAUUGACGGA